This 1660-nucleotide long non-coding RNA is filed under the name Marmota monax (woodchuck). Lineage: Eukaryota; Metazoa; Chordata; Mammalia; Rodentia; Sciuridae. The record is from RNAcentral.
AUGGACACUGACAUCAGUCAGACAUCUGGAUUUUUAUAAUCUCAUAGAUGGAAAAUGGGAUCUCAACGUGGCUUUACUUUACAUUUUUGUUACUAUUAGUGAACUUAAGCCACAAAAAUUUAACUUGGAUUUAAGAGUCCUCUUUCAUACUUCUCUGUGGUCUGCCUGUUCCCAUCAAAUUAUUGGCACUUCAUUAAGUUAUUUAUUAAUGAAAUUAGAGCUCUGUCUGUGGUGUGAAGUGUUCAUUUUUUCCCAGAUGGUUCACCGGUCUUUCAUCUAUACUGACAUUUUUCUCAUGCAAAUGGUCAUAUUUAUAUUUUAUUUUGUGGUUUGAGCUAUCUGCUUUUCUAGGUCUGCCCUGGUCUGAUGUCAUCUUGAUAUUUGUCUGGCAAGGCAAAUCGCUCCUCUUUGUUCUCCAAAUUUGUCCUAAUUACUCUGCUUGCCUUUCUUCUUCCAAAAUAAUUUUAAAAUCAAUGAAUUUAUAGAUUAAUUUUGGGACUCUUUAGAUAUCAAGUUCCAUUUUCAUGGAGGGGGAGACUGGUACAAGUAGCUACCACUUACAGAGCCUGGCACUAUACUGAGAACUAUACCUGUUCUAACUCAAAACAGUCCUACUAAGUGGUCCUAUUACCACUCCCAUUUUGGAGAUGAAGAAACUGAGGCACUGAGAAGUUAUUCAUCUUGCCCAGGGUCAUCCAGUUGGUAGUGGCAGAGCUGGGAUGGAAGCUCACUGCUCUGCCUUUGCAGAAUGGUUUUUAAAAGAUCCUAAAACACCAUACACACACUCACAAGGGGUCCUCUGGAGAGAAGUCAGGAGGUGGGUAGACACUGAAAGACCAUGGAAUCUGUGACACAAAGAGGCCCACAUGUUUUUACAUCCUAUUGAAAGCUCACAGCAAGCUCCCUGCCUGCCUCCAAACCCAAGCUGACUGGUUGGGGUCCCCAUGUCCUCAAGACCUAGCAGAGUCUCCUCCCUGCAUUUCCAGGAAUAGGUGGUUUAAUGCCCCCAAACCAAGGCCAGCCCUGUAAUGCCAAGUAUGAAUACAAAUGAAACAUAAAAAAGUGUCUCAUCUUGAUAAAUGCCUUUUAGACACUAUCAGAGCUCCUCUGUCUGAAGAGGUAACUGUGGAGUGCAGGUAGAACUCCCUCCUGGCUACGGAGGGGCCUUGAGGACAGUCAAGAAGCCUAGCCGUAGCUAACAUGCAGGACUCCAAACACAGGAGUCCCGUGCACAGCAUUAGAAUCUUCCCCAACAUGCCAAUCAUAGGAGCCUGAUGCCAUGAGUGGUGGUGUUCCUGAGGAACCGGGAGGGGGGCUCCCCAGAAACUCAGCACCAUGGCCUAAUCUGCACUCAGCUGUGCAGGUGGAUCAGGGCUGUGGCCUCAACAUACAUUUAAAAUCUCAUCCCUGGAAGCAAAUUCAACUGAAGCCUUCUCAUUUUAUGUUCUUCAAACAUGAAACUCUAGCUCUAUUUUAAAUUUUGUUUUUUUAAAAAAAUUUCACACCAUUUACAAAAUUAACAUGUAGUUUACCAAGAAUCUGGAGAGAACAGGAAAGAACAAAAAUCUCCAUAAUCACCUAUAGCAGGGGUUUUCCGUGGUUAACAGGGUUUGUACUUUCAGCCUUUGGAGAUGGGUACUGGGAGAGGACUGGGGAUGGG